AGAGUUUGAUCCUGGCUCAGGAUGAACGCUGGCGGUAUGCCUUAUACAUGCAAGUCGUACGAGAGUUUUUAACUCUAGUGGCGGACGGGUGAGUAACACGUAAGAAUUUGCCUUUAGGAGGGGGACAACAACUGGAAACGGUUGCUAAUACCCCAUAUGCUUUCGAGUGAAAUGGAUUUCCGCCUAAAGAGAAGCUUGCGGCUGAUUAGCUUGUUGGUAGGGUAAUGGCCUACCAAGGCGACGAUCAGUAUCUGGUUUGAGAGGACGAUCAGACACACUGGAACUGAGACACGGUCCAGACUCCUACGGGAGGCAGCAGUAGGGAAUUUUCCGCAAUGGGCGAAAGCCUGACGGAGCAAUACCGCGUGAGGGAUGACUGCCUAUGGGUUGUAAACCUCUUUUUUCAGGGAGGAAUAAAUGACGUGUACCUGAGGAAUAAGCAUCGGCUAACUCCGUGCCAGCAGCCGCGGUAAGACGGAGGAUGCAAGUGUUAUCCGGAAUCACUGGGCGUAAAGCGUCUGUAGGUGGCUCGACAAGUCAACUGUUAAAUCUUGAAGCUCAACUUCGAAAUCGCAGUCGAAACUAUCGAACUAGAGUAUAGUAGAGGUAAAGGGAAUUUCCAGUGGAGCGGUGAAAUGCGUAGAGAUUGGAAAGAACACCGAUGGCGAAGGCACUUUACUGGGCUAUUACUGACACUCAGGGACGAAAGCUAGGGUAGCAAAUGGGAUUAGAUACCCCAGUAGUCCUAGCCGUAAACAAUGGAUACUAGGUGUUGAACAGAUCGACCUGUGCAGUACCAAAGCUAACGCGUUAAGUAUCCCGCCUGGGAAGUAUGCACGCAAGUGUGAAACUCAA
This 855-nucleotide ribosomal RNA is filed under the name uncultured bacterium. RNAcentral's name for it is "bacterial SSU rRNA". It matches the Rfam family "Bacterial small subunit ribosomal RNA", at positions 8 to 904 of the family's 1533-position model. The record is from RNAcentral.